GUACACGCUGUGACUAGCAUAUCAAUAAGCGGAGGAAAAGAAACUAACAAGGAUUCCCCUAGUAACGGCGAGUGAAGCGGGAAGAGCUCAAAUUUGAAAUCUUAAAGGGUUUCCCUUUACGAAUUGUAGUUUAAAGAAGUGUUUUCUGUUGAGGUUUUGGUAAAAGUUCUUUGGAAUAGGACAUCAUAGAGGGUGAGAAUCCCGUAUUUGACCUUUACUUUCAACUUUGUGAUACACUUUCAAAGAGUCGGAUUGUUUGGGAAUGCAGUACCAAAAUGGGUGGUAAAUUUCAUCUAAAGCUAAAUAUUGGCGAGAGACCGAUAGCGAACAAGUACCGUGAGGGAAAGAUGAAAAGAACUUUGAAAAGAGAGUUAAACAGUACGUGAAAUUGUCAAAAGGGAAGCGUUUGACACCAGUGUUGUUUUUCUGAAAAUCAAUUAAAGAACUGUUUAUGCUAAGUUGUUUAGACUUUAUCAGCUAACUGCUUAGUUUUGAGCUUUUCUUUAAUGCACUUUUCAGUUAACAAGUCAACAUCAAUUUCUUUUGCUGUAAAAAAGCUUGAGGAAGGUGGCUUGAGAUUCGUCUUAAGUGUUUAUAGCCUCUUGCCUAUGCAGUCGGAGAGAUUGAGGUCUGCAGCGUAGAUCCUUCGGGGCUAAAUGCAUUUGUGCUAAGUUAUAGCAUUUUAUAGACAACUUGUUGACUAUGAUUUGUCUUGUAGCUUACUCGCUUAUGUUAUUUUACCUACGCUUAGGAUGUUGAAGAUGUAGCACAUCAU
Molecule: ribosomal RNA, 775 nt
Filed under: uncultured Neocallimastigales
Lineage: Eukaryota; Fungi; Neocallimastigomycota; Neocallimastigomycetes; Neocallimastigales
Description: partial large subunit ribosomal RNA
Rfam family: Eukaryotic large subunit ribosomal RNA
Source: RNAcentral